UACGUAGGCAGCGAGCGUUGUUCGGAGUUACUGGGCGUAAAGCGUGCGUAGGCGGUUGUCUAAGUUUGGUGUGAAAUCUCCUGGCUUAACUGGGAGGGUGCGCCGAAAACUGGGUGACUGGAGUGUCGGAGAGGUAAGCGGAAUUCCUGGUGUAGCGGCGAAAUGCGUAGAGAUCGGGAGGAACACCGGUGGCGAAGGCGGGUCUCUGGGCAUCUCCUGACGCUGAGGCGCGAAAGCGUGGGGAGCAAACAGG
Molecule: ribosomal RNA, 253 nt
Filed under: uncultured bacterium
Lineage: Bacteria
Description: partial 16S ribosomal RNA
Rfam family: Bacterial small subunit ribosomal RNA
Source: RNAcentral